Molecule: non-coding RNA, 28 nt
Filed under: Mus musculus (house mouse)
Lineage: Eukaryota; Metazoa; Chordata; Mammalia; Rodentia; Muridae
Source: RNAcentral
UGACACAGGACACCGGCUAUUUAACUUC